Long non-coding RNA from Cyprinus carpio (common carp), 1436 nucleotides. RefSeq lists it as uncharacterized. Lineage: Eukaryota; Metazoa; Chordata; Actinopteri; Cypriniformes; Cyprinidae. The transcript has 3 exons. The record is from RefSeq and is a predicted model, not a curated record.
GUACUUGUAACCCAUAAAAAUGCAGCCUACAUGAAUAUACACAAAUAUAAAAACUGAAAUUCAUAAUACAGUAAGGCAAAUAUAAUAAAUAUGAUAUUUCUUAAUGUCCGAAUAAGUAAAAAUUUAUUAAAUGUGACUAAGAAUUCAUAGAAACACAAACAUCUAUAAUGGUAUUGUCCAGACGCUUCCCCUUUAAGAAAUCCGAACGUAGUGCGCGUGCAACUGUAGCGCGCAUUCUUUGAACAGUAACGGUCAAAGAGGAGAGGAAGCUGAGAAAUCGAGUGAUUAAUUAACUUGUUAAACGUUUAUUUAAAGACGCUAAAAAGAAAGAAAUAACAUACUUAUCUUGUUAUUGUUAACGAGCGAUAUAAUUGUAUAUUAAAUAAUAUAAAUAAAUACCAAAUUCAGUUCAUUUUCAUACAUUAAAUGUGGAAGCUAUAAAGCUAUAUAGCUAUAAAAAAUCCAAAUUAAACCCUGCGGCUCGUGACGAUACAUUGAUGUGUAAAGACACAAAACGAUCGGUCUGUGCAAGAAACUGAACAGUAUUUAUAUCGGGGUUUUUUUAAUCUCUGAUUCACGCGCUGUCCGAACUGUUAGAACUCUCGUGAACGCGCUUCACAGCAGCCUAUCAUCUUGACGGAGAUUCAGAGACAGACUGAAGCUGGACAAUCAGACUGGAUCUCUGAGCAUCACAAACAGCACAAUAAAACACACUGUGUUUCUGAACUACAGAACAACGAUGUGAGAAAGAGUUAUAUUUCCACUGUUAACGCUCGUCUGCUUGUUUCUGUCAUCAGCACAGACUGUCCUUCAUCAUCAUCAUCAUCAUCAUCAUCAUCAGGAUCUCAUCCCAAUCCCAUGAGCAAGCAGACUCAACAUCUGGACAUCAGUGAAUUCUGUCACACAUGUUCAGACUCUGAACACUGUUGUGCUUCUACUGAAGCUGUGAUCCAAUUGGUCCUCUCUGCUCUGGUGGGCGUGGCUACUGUCAUUCUUCUGGUUUAUGACAUCAGAUCCAGAAGAGCUGAACAGGAUCGAGCACAGAUUCACACAUCAGUUACAGGAAUAAUGAUGUAAUUUCUCAUAAAUGAAUAUUUGUGAGAUGUAUUAAUUUUAUUCCUCUAUGUGUUCAUUUUUCUCAGGAAGUGUUGAAAUCUAAAGCAGAACUGAACUUUAAAGGUUCUUCAAGUGUGUUUUAGUGUCUUUGUCAUAAUAAAUAAUGAUGAUUAUUUCAGCUGGCACUCUUUCUUUUAGUGUCAGAUAAAAAAAAACAAAAAAAAAAAACAAAAUCCAAUUUGUAAAGCUUUAUUGUUUAUUUUUCUCUCAACUCAACUCAACUCAACUUUUAUUUAUAAAGCACUUUCAAAACCAUUAGAAUGGACCAAAGUGCUGUCCAUAGGUAGGCUGAUCAAUACUCUAAAAUACAUACAAACCAU